GAUGAACGCUGGCGGCGUGCUUAACACAUGCAAGUCGAACGAUGAAGCCCAGCUUGCUGGGCGGAUUAGUGGCGAACGGGUGAGUAACACGUGAGUAACCUGCCCUUGACUCUGGGAUAAGCCCGGGAAACUGGGUCUAAUACCGGAUAGGAGCGCCUGUCGCAUGACGGGUGCUGGAAAGAUCUUUCGGUCAUGGAUGGACUCGCGGCCUAUCAGCUUGUUGGUGAGGUAACGGCUCACCAAGGCGACGACGGGUAGCCGGCCUGAGAGGGUGACCGGCCACACGGGGACUGAGACACGGCCCAGAUCCCUACGGGAGGCAGCGGGGGGGAAUAUUGCACAAGGGGCGAAAGCCUGAGGCAGCGACGCCGCGGGAGGGAGGACGGCCUUCGGUUGGUAAACCUCUUUCAGCAGGGAAGAAGCUAAAGUGACGGUACCUGCAGAAGAAGCACCGGCUAACUACGUG
RNAcentral lists this ribosomal RNA (466 nucleotides) under uncultured bacterium. RNAcentral's name for it is "partial 16S ribosomal RNA". It matches the Rfam family "Bacterial small subunit ribosomal RNA", at positions 28 to 507 of the family's 1533-position model. The record is from RNAcentral.